UACGUAGGGGGCGAGCGUUGUCCGGAUUUAUUGGGCGUAAAGAGCGUGUAGGCGGCCAGGUAGGUCUGCUGUGAAAACUCGAGGCUCAACCUCGAGACGUCGGCGGAAACCAUCUGGCUAGAGUCCGGAAGAGGAGAGUGGAAUUCCUGGUGUAGCGGUGAAAUGCGCAGAUAUCGGGAGGAACACCAAUGGCGAAGGCAGCUUGCUGGGACGGUACUGACGCUGAGACGCGAAAGCGUGGGGAGCGAACAGG
RNAcentral lists this ribosomal RNA (253 nucleotides) under uncultured bacterium. RNAcentral's name for it is "partial 16S ribosomal RNA". It matches the Rfam family "Bacterial small subunit ribosomal RNA", at positions 524 to 776 of the family's 1533-position model. The record is from RNAcentral.